This 21-nucleotide non-coding RNA is filed under the name Caenorhabditis elegans. The record is from RNAcentral. Lineage: Eukaryota; Metazoa; Nematoda; Chromadorea; Rhabditida; Rhabditidae.
UAAAUGAAUAAAUCAUUCAUU